Molecule: ribosomal RNA, 505 nt
Filed under: uncultured bacterium
Lineage: Bacteria
Description: partial 16S ribosomal RNA
Rfam family: Bacterial small subunit ribosomal RNA
Source: RNAcentral
GACGAACGCUGGCGGCGUGCCUAAUACAUGCAAGUAGAACGCACAGUUUAUACCGUAGCUUGCUACACCAUAGACUGUGAGUUGCGAACGGGUGAGUAACGCGUAGGUAACCUGCCUGGUAGCGGGGGAUAACUAUUGGAAACGAUAGCUAAUACCGCAUAAUAUUGAUUAUUGCAUGAUAAUUGAUUGAAAGAUGCUAUUGCAUCACUACCAGAUGGACCUGCGUUGUAUUAGCUAGUAGGUGAGGUAACGGCUCACCUAGGCGACGAUACAUAGCCGACCUGAGAGGGUGAUCGGCAACACUGGGACUGAGACACGGCCCAGACUCCUACGGGAGGCAGCAGUAGGGAAUCUUCGGCAAUGGACGAAAGUCUGACCGAGCAACGCCGCGUGAGUGAAGAAGGUUUUCGGAUCGUAAAGCUCUGUUGUAAGAGAAGAACGGGUGUGAGAGUGGAAAGUUCACACUGUGACGGUAUCUUACCAGAAAGGGACGGCUAACUACGUG